RNAcentral lists this unclassified non-coding RNA (253 nucleotides) under uncultured Gammaproteobacteria bacterium. RNAcentral describes it as "contains 16S-23S intergenic spacer region". It matches the Rfam family "Bacterial small subunit ribosomal RNA", at positions 524 to 776 of the family's 1533-position model. Lineage: Bacteria; Pseudomonadati; Pseudomonadota; Gammaproteobacteria. The record is from RNAcentral.
UACAGAGGGUGCAAGCGUUAAUCGGAUUUACUGGGCGUAAAGGGCGCGUAGGUGGUAAAGCAAGUAGAAUGUGAAAGCCCUGGGCUUAACCUGGGAAGUGCGUUCUAAACUGCUUAACUAGAGUAUGGUAGAGGGUAGUGGAAUUUCCGGUGUAGCGGUGAAAUGCGUAGAUAUCGGAAGGAACGCCAGUGGUGAAAACGACUACCUGGACCAAUACUGACACUGAGGCGCGAAAGCGUGGGGAUCAAACAGG